GACGAACGCUGGCGGCGUGCUUAACACAUGCAAGUCGAACGGAAAGGCCCUGCUUUUGUGGGGUGCUCGAGUGGCGAACGGGUGAGUAACACGUGAGUAACCUGCCCUUGACUUUGGGAUAACUUCAGGAAACUGGGGCUAAUACCGGAUAGGAGCUCCUGCUGCAUGGUGGGGGUUGGAAAGUUUCGGCGGUUGGGGAUGGACUCGCGGCUUACCAGCUUGUUGGUGGGGUAGUGGCUUACCAAGGCUUUGACGGGUAGCCGGCCUGAGAGGGUGACCGGCCACAUUGGGACUGAGAUACGGCCCAGACUCCUACGGGAGGCAGCAGUGGGGAAUAUUGCACAAUGGGCGGAAGCCUGAUGCAGCAACGCCGCGUGCGGGAUGACGGCCUUCGGGGUGUAAACCGCUUUCGCCUGUGACGAAGCGUGAGUGACGGUAAUGGGUAAAGAAGCACCGGCUAAAUACGUG
RNAcentral lists this ribosomal RNA (468 nucleotides) under uncultured bacterium. RNAcentral's name for it is "partial 16S ribosomal RNA". It matches the Rfam family "Bacterial small subunit ribosomal RNA", at positions 28 to 507 of the family's 1533-position model. The record is from RNAcentral.